GCUCAGAAACUUAAAGGAAUUGACGGGGCCCGCACAAGCGUGGAGCAUGUGGUUAAUUCGAUGAUACGCGAGGAACCUUACCUGGGCUCAAAUGUAUGUUGACGUAUUCUGAAAGGGAUACUUCUUCGGACAAUAUACAAGGUGCUGCAUGGUUGUCGUCAGCUCGUGCCGUGAGGUGUCGGGUUAAGUCCCAUAACGAGCGCAACCCCUAUCAUUAGUUGCCAUCAGGUCAAGCUGGGGACUCUAAUGAAACUGCCUACGCAAGUAGUGAGGAAGGUGGGGAUGACGUCAAAUCAGCACGGCCCUUACGUCCAGGGCUACACACGUGCUACAAUGGCCGGUACAAAGGGCAGCUACCUGGUGACAGGAUGCUAAUCUCAAAAGCCGGUCUCAGUUCGGAUUGGAGGCUGCAACUCGCCUCCAUGAAGUCGGAAUCGCUAGUAACCGCAGAUCAGCUACGUUGCGGUGAAUACGUUCCCGGGCCUU
Molecule: ribosomal RNA, 486 nt
Filed under: uncultured Sphingobacteriales bacterium
Lineage: Bacteria; Pseudomonadati; Bacteroidota; Sphingobacteriia; Sphingobacteriales
Description: bacterial SSU rRNA
Rfam family: Bacterial small subunit ribosomal RNA
Source: RNAcentral